GCCCUCGCGACAUCUGAUAAAAUUGGAACCAUACAUACAAGAUUAGUAUAGCCCGUGAGCAAGGAUGCACGUACAAAUCAAGAAGUGGUAUCAAAGCCA
Molecule: small nuclear RNA, 99 nt
Organism: Cucurbita maxima (winter squash)
Lineage: Eukaryota; Viridiplantae; Streptophyta; Magnoliopsida; Cucurbitales; Cucurbitaceae
Source: RefSeq, a predicted model, not a curated record